GUAGUGGUGGUUCAGUGGUGGAAUUCCCGCCUUCCGUGCAGGAGAUCCAGGUUCGAUUCCCGGCCAACGCA
RNAcentral lists this transfer RNA (71 nucleotides) under Loxodonta africana (African savanna elephant). It matches the Rfam family "tRNA". Rfam says of the family: Transfer RNA (tRNA) molecules are approximately 80 nucleotides in length. Their secondary structure includes four short double-helical elements and three loops (D, anti-codon, and T loops). Lineage: Eukaryota; Metazoa; Chordata; Mammalia; Proboscidea; Elephantidae. The record is from Rfam by way of RNAcentral.